GACGAACGCUGGCGGUGUGCCUAAUACAUGCAAGUUGAGCGGCAACGGAUGGUACUUGUACCAACUGGGUGAGCAGCGAACGGGUGGGUAACGCGUGGAGCAUCUGCCUUUGAUCGGGGGACAACAUCUGGAAACGACUGCUACUACUGCAUAAAAACUUUAACCACAAGUUUUAAGUUUGAAAGAUGCAAUUGCCUCACUCAAAGAUGAUCCUGCGUUGUAUUAGCUAGUUGGUGAGGUAAAGGCCCACCAAGGCGAAGAUACAUAGCCUGCCUGGGAGGGUGAUCGGCCACAUUGGGAAUGGGAACACGGCCAAACCCCUACGGGAAGCAGCAGGAGGGAAAUAUUGGCAAUGGGGGGAAGUCUGAACGAGGAAAGCCGGGGGAGUGAAGGAGGGUUUCGGGUCGGAAAACUCGGUUUGUAGGGAAGAAAGAGGGGGAGGGUGGAAAGCUCAUCAAGUGACGGUAACUAAACAGAAAGCAACGGCUAACUACGUG
This 497-nucleotide ribosomal RNA is filed under the name uncultured bacterium. RNAcentral describes it as "partial 16S ribosomal RNA". It matches the Rfam family "Bacterial small subunit ribosomal RNA", at positions 28 to 507 of the family's 1533-position model. The record is from RNAcentral.